UGUUCGACACGUGGUGUAGUUGCGAAGAAAGGAAGAAAACGGGAGCACAAAACGAAACAGAGAGAGGACACGGAGGAAAAGUAGAAGGAUUUGGGCUGGCACCUUCCUUGGAUCUUCGGAUCGAAAUCUUUGAAAGGUCAGCUUGUCACUCUUCGAGAUGUUUGAUUUGGGCUGAGGCAGUGGAUAGCUAUUCAGAAUAAUGGGCAAGUCUGGUUGGUUAUUACGAUAUUGUUGUAUAAGUAUGUCUUGUAUGUAAUGAAAUGUUGUCGAUGAACCGAAAUGGAUAUAUUGUGUCAAAGUGUUAGGAGAUCUCUCUUAUUUGGGAUUUCAGAAUGUUAAGUCUAAUUUAUGGUGAUAUGAACUUGUGGUUAAUAGUUGGAGUUCUGAUUGUAUAAUUUAUUUAGCUUGUGGAUUUAUAAAUAUUGUUCAUGUUUGUCAAGUUGGCUUGGGUUGCCAUAAAUGUGAAUUAUCGAGUGAUGUGAUAUAUGAUUAUAAACUGCACAGGUUUUAUGGAUGUGAAUAUGAAUAGAAUGUUUUCAGUGUCCUCAAACGUUAGUUUGGAUCCUGGAUUGGUCUGUGACGAAAAUUUUAAAAAUCAUGGAUAUUUUGAGGGGCGUGACAGAGGUGGUAUCAGAGCAUUAUUUGAGGAUUACUGAAAUAUUUGAUAUGUUGACGUGCAAAAUAUAUUGAGGUCUAAUGAACUAUAGUGAUUGGUGGAAAUUUUCUUUGAUGUAUUUUAGGAAUCUGGGAUGAUGAGGACAUUUGGUCCUCCUAUUUCAUUGUUUCUGAUUAAUUAAGGGGAAUGAAAGGAUUGAUUGGGGAUAUUGAAUCAGAGUGGCGUAGCGGAAGCAUGGUGGACCUAAUUUCAUUGGUGGUAGAAAAAUGAAUGAUGCAAACAGAGAAGAUAUUUGAUGUACAAAAUUGUUUUGAUGAUCAAAAGAUUUCUUUUGCCACCUUAUAUUGGAAGUAGAGGCUGAUUAUUAUUGGCAACAAUGAAAAGAAUUUUUGGAGAUCAGUGACAAGAAUGAUAAGGACAAGUUUACCAAUAAGAAUAUGAUUGGAAAUGAAUCAGAAAGUAAUGACAAGAGGGUCAAGACAUUUGGAUUUGAAAAGGAAAGUCACCACCAAAGACUUAAUCAUGUGUGAAUUACAAGUUAAAUUAUGAAACAAGUUUGUGCUUUCGGGUGAUUGGAGUCUAUUUUGCUUGUAGAAAGUUGGAUCAUAAAAUAAAAGUUUGCCCUUUGAACAAGAAGAAAGAGUCACUGCCUCCUAAAUCAUCAGCCCAUGUAAGAGUGUAUGCUAUCACUGAAUAUGAUUCUGAAACUUCUGAAUUAGUGGCCAAAGGUAUUAUGCAUGUUUAUGAAAGAAUGCAAAUAUUUGUUCGAUCAUGGGUCCAAUCUACGAUUUGAUUCGUAAUAUUUUGCUUAUCACUUAGGUAUUCAACCUAGACCACUACAUUAUGUGCUAUAAGUAAAUACGAUCAUUGGAGAUUCUUUGAUAACGAAGUUGAAUCUGGUCCUCUUGUCUGAUUCUUAUUGGAGAACUUGAAUUUAUGCUGAUUUAGUUCUCCUAGAGAUUUGGAGUUAUGAUAUUAUACUUGGUAUGGAUUGGCCAUCUUCUUAUCAUACCAGUAUGGAUUGAUAUAUAACAAAUGAUCACUUUUUGUAUAUUUGAUCAGUCGAUCUUUUACUUUGAGAGUAUGGGACAUGAUUUAUCUCCUUGCCUAAUGUAUCCAGGAUGACUUGCUUGGAUUACCUCCAAAUGUGACUUUGCUUUUGAUUUGGUCCUUGGGAUAAUCCCAAUAUCUAAGCCUCUCUACAGAAAGAUAUCAUUUGAGUAAGUGGAAUUGGAAAAGCAACUACAAGGAUUGUUAAAUGAGGAUUUUAUUUGGCUUAAUAUUUCAUCAUGGGGUGCUCCGGUGUUAGUUAAAAGAAAUGUAUGGAACAUUGAGGCUUUGUAAUGAUUAUAGACAAUUGAAUUAGGUGACCAUCAAAAACGAGUAUUUUCUGAAGUAACGACUUGCUCGAUUAAUUACAGGGUACGCAAGUAUUUUUAGAAAUUGAUUGAAGGUCGGGUUACCGUCUAUUGAGAAUCAAGGAGGAGAAUAUUUCGGUCACUCGUGGAUAAUUAUGUAAUUGUAUUGUAUUGAUGAAACUAUUUAAGAGUAGGAGGAGGAAAUAAAGAUAUCAUAAUCUUCAUCUUUUCAUCGAUUGAGCUAUGAUCAAUUUAGAGGACUAAAUUUUCUUUUAAGGGGGGGAGAGUGUAAUAUCCCUCGCUUUUAAAAAUUAUUAAUAAAGAUUUAUAUGUAAAUUGGAGGACCUAUAUGUAAAUAUAGAAAUUACAAGGACUAAACUGCUAAGUUGCAAAAAAAAAAGAAAAAGGAAAAGGGAAGAGGAGAAGAAGAGAAGGAGAAGAAGAGGGAAAAGAGAGGCAGCUGCAGCAGCCAGGGCUGCAGCACCUCUGUUUCCCGCAGGUGGAAACAGAGGAGAGGAUGUGUGGGGCGUUGAGGAUGAAAAGGGAAGAAGAAGAAGAAGAAGAAGAAGAAGAAGAAGAAGAAGAAGAAGAUAGCUGCGGCAAGGCUGCAGCGAGGAGAUGUGUGGCCUUGGGGAGGAAAAGGGAAGAGGGGAAGAGGAGAAGAAGAAGAAGAGGAAGAGAAAGAGGUGUGAUACCUCUGUUUCCUGCAGAGGAAACAGAGGAGAGGGUGUGUGUGACGCCGGGGAAGAAGGGGCUGCAGCUGCCGCGAUGGCAGCUGCAGCUGGAAGAGAAGAAGAAGAGGAAGAUGAGCAGGGGAGGAGGGAGAGGUUGCGGCCGUGGCUGCGGCCGCGACUGCAGCAGUUGCAGCGGGGAGAGAAGAAGAAGAAAGGAAGGAGAAGGAAGAGGAGAAGGGAAAGAAGUAGCUGCGGCUGCGGUUGUGGCAGCUGCAGCUAUGGCAGGGAAAGAGGAAGAGAAAAAGGAAAGGAAGAAGAGAGAAAGGGAAGGAGAGGAAGAAGAGAGGAAGAGGAGAAGGGGUUGCGUCUACGGCGAUGGCAGCUGCAGCUGUGGCAGGGAAAGAGAAAAAGGAAAGGAAGAAGAAGAGAAAGGGAAGGAGAGGAAGAAGAGAGGAAGAGGAGAAGGGGCUGCGGCUGCGGUGAUGGCAGCUGCAGCUGUGGCUGGGAAAGAAGAGAAGGAAAGGAAGAAGAAGAGAAAGGGAAGGAGAGGAAGAAGAGAGGAAGAGGAGAAGGGGUGGCAGCUGCGGCGAUGGCAGCUGCAGUUGGAAGAGAAGAAGGAGAGGAAGAUGAGCAGGGGAGGAAGAAGAGGCUGCGAGUGUGGUGGCUGCGGCCGUGGCUGCGACUCCGGCUGCGGCUGCAACGUUGGCUGCGGUAGCUGCGGCAGCGGUGGUGGCUGCAGUAGCUGCAGUAGCUGCUUUUGGGAAAGAGAAAGAGUAGGAAUGAGAGAAGGGAAGAAGGAAAUAGUGCAGUGGAAGGGGGCUGUGGUUGUGACCGCAGUUGCGGUCGUGGCUGCGAUUGUGGCAGCGGCAGCGGCGGCGGCUGUGGCAGCUGUGUUUGGGAAAGAAAAAAAGAAGGAAUGAGAGUAAGAGAGAGCAGGUGACUGUGCCUCGAUGUUCGACACGUGGUGUAGUUGCGAAGAAAGGAAGAAAACGGGAGCACAAAACGAAACAGAGAGAGGACACGGAGGAAAAGUAGAAGGAUUUGGGCUGGCACCUUCCUUGGAUCUUCGGAUCGAAAUCUUUGAAAGGUCAGCUUGUCACUCUUCGAGAUGUUUGAUUUGGGCUGAGGCAGUGGAUAGCUAUUCAGAAUAAUGGGCAAGUCUGGUUGGUUAUUACGAUAUUGUUGUAUAAGUAUGUCUUGUAUGUAAUGAAAUGUUGUCGAUGAACCGAAAUGGAUAUACUGUGUCAAAGUGUUAGGAGAUCUCUCUUAUUUGGGAUUUCAGAAUGUUAAGUCUAAUUUAUGGUGAUAUGAACUUGUGGUGAAUAGUUGGAGUUCUGAUUGUAUAAUUUAUUUAGCUUGUGGAUUUAUAAAUAUUGUUCAUGUUUGUCAAGUUGGCUUGGGUUGCCAUAAAUGUGAAUUAUCGAGUGAUGUGAUAUAUGAUUAUAAACUGCACAGGUUUUAUGGAUGUGAAUAUGAAUAGAAUGUUUUCAGUGUCCUCAAACGUUAGUUUGGAUCCUGGAUUGGUCUGUGACGAAAAUUUUAAAAAUCAUGGAUAUUUUGAGGGGCGUGACAGAGGUGGUAUCAGAGCAUUAUUUGAGGAUUACUGAAAUAUUUGAUAUGUUGACGUGCAAAAUAUAUUGAGGUCUAAUGAACUAUAGUGAUUGGUGGAAAUUUUCUUUGAUGUAUUUUAGGAAUCUGGGAUGAUGAGGACAUUUGGUCCUCCUAUUUCAUUGUUUCUGAUUAAUUAAGGGGAAUGAAAGGAUUGAUUGGGGAUAUUGAAUCAGAGUGGCGUAGCGGAAGCAUGGUGGACCUAAUUUCAUUGGUGGUAGAAAAAUGAAUGAUGCAAACAGAGAAGAUAUUUGAUGUACAAAAUUGUUUUGAUGAUCAAAAGAUUUCUUUUGCCACCUUAUAUUGGAAGUAGAGGCUGAUUAUUAUUGGCAACAAUGAAAAGAAUUUUUGGAGAUCAGUGACAAGAAUGAUAAGGACAAGUUUACCAAUAAGAAUAUGAUUGGAAAUGAAUCAGAAAGUAAUGACAAGAGGGUCAAGACAUUUGGAUUUGAAAAGGAAAGUCACCACCAAAGACUUAAUCAUGUGUGAAUUACAAGUUAAAUUAUGAAACAAGUUUGUGCUUUCGGGUGAUUGGAGUCUAUUUUGCUUGUAGAAAGUUGGAUCAUAAAAUAAAAGUUUGCCCUUUGAACAAGAAGAAAGAGUCACUGCCUCCUAAAUCAUCAGCCCAUGUAAGAGUGUAUGCUAUCACUGAAUAUGAUUCUGAAACUUCUGAAUUAGUGGCCAAAGGUAUUAUGCAUGUUUAUGAAAGAAUGCAAAUAUUUGUUCGAUCAUGGGUCCAAUCUACGAUUUGAUUCGUAAUAUUUUGCUUAUCACUUAGGUAUUCAACCUAGACCACUACAUUAUGUGCUAUAAGUAAAUACGAUCAUUGGAGAUUCUUUGAUAACGAAGUUGAAUCUGGUCCUCUUGUCUGAUUCUUAUUGGAGAACUUGAAUUUAUGCUGAUUUAGUUCUCCUAGAGAUUUGGAGUUAUGAUAUUAUACUUGGUAUGGAUUGGCCAUCUUCUUAUCAUACCAGUAUGGAUUGAUAUAUAACAAAUGAUCACUUUUUGUAUAUUUGAUCAGUCGAUCUUUUACUUUGAGAGUAUGGGACAUGAUUUAUCUCCUUGCCUAAUGUAUCCAGGAUGACUUGCUUGGAUUACCUCCAAAUGUGACUUUGCUUUUGAUUUGGUCCUUGGGAUAAUCCCAAUAUCUAAGCCUCUCUACAGAAAGAUAUCAUUUGAGUAAGUGGAAUUGGAAAAGCAACUACAAGGAUUGUUAAAUGAGGAUUUUAUUUGGCUUAAUAUUUCAUCAUGGGGUGCUCCGGUGUUAGUUAAAAGAAAUGUAUGGAACAUUGAGGCUUUGUAAUGAUUAUAGACAAUUGAAUUAGGUGACCAUCAAAAACGAGUAUUUUCUGAAGUAACGACUUGCUCGAUUAAUUACAGGGUACGCAAGUAUUUUUAGAAAUUGAUUGAAGGUCGGGUUACCGUCUAUUGAGAAUCAAGGAGGAGAAUAUUUCGGUCACUCGUGGAUAAUUAUGUAAUUGUAUUGUAUUGAUGAAACUAUUUAAGAGUAGGAGGAGGAAAUAAAGAUAUCAUAAUCUUCAUCUUUUCAUCGAUUGAGCUAUGAUCAAUUUAGAGGACUAAAUUUUCUUUUAAGGGGGGGAGAGUGUAAUAUCCCUCGCUUUUAAAAAUUAUUAAUAAAGAUUUAUAUGUAAAUUGGAGGACCUAUAUGUAAAUAUAGAAAUUACAAGGACUAAACUGCUAAGUUGCAAAAAAAAAAGAAAAAGGAAAAGGGAAGAGGAGAAGAAGAGAAGGAGAAGAAGAGGGAAAAGAGAGGCAGCUGCAGCAGCCAGGGCUGCAGCACCUCUGUUUCCCGCAGGUGGAAACAGAGGAGAGGAUGUGUGGGGCGUUGAGGAUGAAAAGGGAAGAAGAAGAAGAAGAAGAAGAAGAAGAAGAAGAAGAAGAAGAAGAAGAAGAAGAAGAUAGCUGCGGCAAGGCUGCAGCGAGGAGAUGUGUGGCCUUGGGGAGGAAAAGGGAAGAGGGGAAGAGGAGAAGAAGAAGAAGAGGAAGAGAAAGAGGUGUGAUACCUCUGUUUCCUGCAGAGGAAACAGAGGAGAGGGUGUGUGUGAUGCCGGGGAAGAAGGGGCUGCAGCUGCCGCGAUGGCAGCUGCAGCUGGAAGAGAAGAAGAAGAGGAAGAUGAGCAGGGGAGGAGGGAGAGGUUGCGGCCGUGGCUGCGGCCGCGACUGCAGCAGUUGCAGCGGGGAGAGAAGAAGAAGAAAGGAAGGAGAAGGAAGAGGAGAAGGGAAAGAAGUAGCUGCGGCUGCGGUUGUGGCAGCUGCAGCUAUGGCAGGGAAAGAGGAAGAGAAAAAGGAAAGGAAGAAGAGAGAAAGGGAAGGAGAGGAAGAAGAGAGGAAGAGGAGAAGGGGUUGCGGCUACGGCGAUGGCAGCUGCAGCUGUGGCAGGGAAAGAGAAAAAGGAAAGGAAGAAGAAGAGAAAGGGAAGGAGAGGAAGAAGAGAGGAAGAGGAGAAGGGGCUGCGGCUGCGGUGAUGGCAGCUGCAGCUGUGGCUGGGAAAGAAGAGAAGGAAAGGAAGAAGAAGAGAAAGGGAAGGAGAGGAAGAAGAGAGGAAGAGGAGAAGGGGUGGCAGCUGCGGCGAUGGCAGCUGCAGUUGGAAGAGAAGAAGGAGAGGAAGAUGAGCAGGGGAGGAAGAAGAGGCUGCGAGUGUGGUGGCUGCGGCCGUGGCUGCGACUCCGGCUGCGGCUGCAACGUUGGCUGCGGUAGCUGCGGCAGCGGUGGUGGCUGCAGUAGCUGCAGUAGCUGCUUUUGGGAAAGAGAAAGAGUAGGAAUGAGAGAAGGGAAGAAGGAAAUAGUGCAGUGGAAGGGGGCUGUGGUUGUGACCGCAGUUGCGGUCGUGGCUGCGAUUGUGGCAGCGGCAGCGGCGGCGGCUGUGGCAGCUGUGUUUGGGAAAGAAAAAAAGAAGGAAUGAGAGUAAGAGAGAGCAGGUGACUGUGCCUCGAUGUUCGACACGUGGUGUAGUUGCGAAGAAAGGAAGAAAACGGGAGCACAAAACGAAACAGAGAGAGGACACGGAGGAAAAGUAGAAGGAUUUGGGCUGGCACCUUCCUUGGAUCUUCGGAUCGAAAUCUUUGAAAGGUCAGCUUGUCACUCUUCGAGAUGUUUGAUUUGGGCUGAGGCAGUGGAUAGCUAUUCAGAAUAAUGGGCAAGUCUGGUUGGUUAUUACGAUAUUGUUGUAUAAGUAUGUCUUGUAUGUAAUGAAAUGUUGUCGAUGAACCGAAAUGGAUAUACUGUGUCAAAGUGUUAGGAGAUCUCUCUUAUUUGGGAUUUCAGAAUGUUAAGUCUAAUUUAUGGUGAUAUGAACUUGUGGUGAAUAGUUGGAGUUCUGAUUGUAUAAUUUAUUUAGCUUGUGGAUUUAUAAAUAUUGUUCAUGUUUGUCAAGUUGGCUUGGGUUGCCAUAAAUGUGAAUUAUCGAGUGAUGUGAUAUAUGAUUAUAAACUGCACAGGUUUUAUGGAUGUGAAUAUGAAUAGAAUGUUUUCAGUGUCCUCAAACGUUAGUUUGGAUCCUGGAUUGGUCUGUGACGAAAAUUUUAAAAAUCAUGGAUAUUUUGAGGGGCGUGACAGAGGUGGUAUCAGAGCAUUAUUUGAGGAUUACUGAAAUAUUUGAUAUGUUGACGUGCAAAAUAUAUUGAGGUCUAAUGAACUAUAGUGAUUGGUGGAAAUUUUCUUUGAUGUAUUUUAGGAAUCUGGGAUGAUGAGGACAUUUGGUCCUCCUAUUUCAUUGUUUCUGAUUAAUUAAGGGGAAUGAAAGGAUUGAUUGGGGAUAUUGAAUCAGAGUGGCGUAGCGGAAGCAUGGUGGACCUAAUUUCAUUGGUGGUAGAAAAAUGAAUGAUGCAAACAGAGAAGAUAUUUGAUGUACAAAAUUGUUUUGAUGAUCAAAAGAUUUCUUUUGCCACCUUAUAUUGGAAGUAGAGGCUGAUUAUUAUUGGCAACAAUGAAAAGAAUUUUUGGAGAUCAGUGACAAGAAUGAUAAGGACAAGUUUACCAAUAAGAAUAUGAUUGGAAAUGAAUCAGAAAGUAAUGACAAGAGGGUCAAGACAUUUGGAUUUGAAAAGGAAAGUCACCACCAAAGACUUAAUCAUGUGUGAAUUACAAGUUAAAUUAUGAAACAAGUUUGUGCUUUCGGGUGAUUGGAGUCUAUUUUGCUUGUAGAAAGUUGGAUCAUAAAAUAAAAGUUUGCCCUUUGAACAAGAAGAAAGAGUCACUGCCUCCUAAAUCAUCAGCCCAUGUAAGAGUGUAUGCUAUCACUGAAUAUGAUUCUGAAACUUCUGAAUUAGUGGCCAAAGGUAUUAUGCAUGUUUAUGAAAGAAUGCAAAUAUUUGUUCGAUCAUGGGUCCAAUCUACGAUUUGAUUCGUAAUAUUUUGCUUAUCACUUGGGUAUUCAACCUAGACCACUACAUUAUGUGCUAUAAGUAAAUACGAUCAUUGGAGAUUCUUUGAUAACGAAGUUGAAUCUGGUCCUCUUGUCUGAUUCUUAUUGGAGAACUUGAAUUUAUGCUGAUUUAGUUCUCCUAGAGAUUUGGAGUUAUGAUAUUAUACUUGGUAUGGAUUGGCCAUCUUCUUAUCAUACCAGUAUGGAUUGAUAUAUAACAAAUGAUCACUUUUUGUAUAUUUGAUCAGUCGAUCUUUUACUUUGAGAGUAUGGGACAUGAUUUAUCUCCUUGCCUAAUGUAUCCAGGAUGACUUGCUUGGAUUACCUCCAAAUGUGACUUUGCUUUUGAUUUGGUCCUUGGGAUAAUCCCAAUAUCUAAGCCUCUCUACAGAAAGAUAUCAUUUGAGUAAGUGGAAUUGGAAAAGCAACUACAAGGAUUGUUAAAUGAGGAUUUUAUUUGGCUUAAUAUUUCAUCAUGGGGUGCUCCGGUGUUAGUUAAAAGAAAUGUAUGGAACAUUGAGGCUUUGUAAUGAUUAUAGACAGUUGAAUUAGGUGACCAUCAAAAACGAGUAUUUUCUGAAGUAACGACUUGCUCGAUUAAUUACAGGGUACGCAAGUAUUUUUAGAAAUUGAUUGAAGGUCGGGUUACCGUCUAUUGAGGAUCAAGGAGGAGAAUAUUUCGGUCACUCGUGGAUAAUUAUGUAAUUGUAUUGUAUUGAUGAAACUAUUUAAGAGUAGGAGGAGGAAAUAAAGAUAUCAUAAUCUUCAUCUUUUCAUCGAUUGAGCUAUGAUCAAUUUAGAGGACUAAAUUUUCUUUUAAGGGGGGGAGAGUGUAAUAUCCCUCGCUUUUAAAAAUUAUUAAUAAAGAUUUAUAUGUAAAUUGGAGGACCUAUAUGUAAAUAUAGAAAUUACAAGGACUAAACUGCUAAGUUGCAAAAAAAAAAGAAAAAGGAAAAGGGAAGAGGAGAAGAAGAGAAGGAGAAGAAGAGGGAAAAGAGAGGCAGCUGCAGCAGCCAGGGCUGCAGCACCUCUGUUUCCCGCAGGUGGAAACAGAGGAGAGGAUGUGUGGGGCGUUGAGGAUGAAAAGGGAAGAAGAAGAAGAAGAAGAAGAAGAAGAUAGCUGCGGCAAGGCUGCAGCGAGGAGAUGUGUGGCCUUGGGGAGGAAAAGGGAAGAGGGGAAGAGGAGAAGAAGAAGAAGAGGAAGAGAAAGAGGUGUGAUACCUCUGUUUCCUGCAGAGGAAACAGAGGAGAGGGUGUGUGUGACGCCGGGGAAGAAGGGGCUGCAGCUGCGGCGAUGGCAGCUGCAGCUGGAAGAGAAGAAGAAGAGGAAGAUGAGCAGGGGAGGAGGGAGAGGUUGCGGCCGUGGCUGCGGCCGCGACUGCAGCAGUUGCAGCGGGGAGAGAAGAAGAAGAAAGGAAGGAGAAGGAAGAGGAGAAGGGAAAGAAGUAGCUGCGGCUGCGGUUGUGGCAGCUGCAGCUAUGGCAGGGAAAGAGGAAGAGAAAAAGGAAAGGAAGAAGAGAGAAAGGGAAGGAGAGGAAGAAGAGAGGAAGAGGAGAAGGGGUUGCGGCUACGGCGAUGGCAGCUGCAGCUGUGGCAGGGAAAGAGAAAAAGGAAAGGAAGAAGAAGAGAAAGGGAAGGAGAGGAAGAAGAGAGGAAGAGGAGAAGGGGCUGCGGCUGCGGUGAUGGCAGCUGCAGCUGUGGCUGGGAAAGAAGAGAAGGAAAGGAAGAAGAAGAGAAAGGGAAGGAGAGGAAGAAGAGAGGAAGAGGAGAAGGGGUGGCAGCUGCGGCGAUGGCAGCUGCAGUUGGAAGAGAAGAAGGAGAGGAAGAUGAGCAGGGGAGGAAGAAGAGGCUGCGAGUGUGGUGGCUGCGGCCGUGGCUGCGACUCCGGCUGCGGCUGCAACGUUGGCUGCGGUAGCUGCGGCAGCGGUGGUGGCUGCAGUAGCUGCAGUAGCUGCUUUUGGGAAAGAGAAAGAGUAGGAAUGAGAGAAGGGAAGAAGGAAAUAGUGCAGUGGAAGGGGGCUGUGGUUGUGACCGCAGUUGCGGUCGUGGCUGCGAUUGUGGCAGCGGCAGCGGCGGCGGCUGUGGCAGCUGUGUUUGGGAAAGAAAAAAAGAAGGAAUGAGAGUAAGAGAGAGCAGGUGACUGUGCCUCGAUGUUCGACACGUGGUGUAGUUGCGAAGAAAGGAAGAAAACGGGAGCACAAAACGAAACAGAGAGAGGACACGGAGGAAAAGUAGAAGGAUUUGGGCUGGCACCUUCCUUGGAUCUUCGGAUCGAAAUCUUUGAAAGGUCAGCUUGUCACUCUUCGAGAUGUUUGAUUUGGGCUGAGGCAGUGGAUAGCUAUUCAGAAUAAUGGGCAAGUCUGGUUGGUUAUUACGAUAUUGUUGUAUAAGUAUGUCUUGUAUGUAAUGAAAUGUUGUCGAUGAACCGAAAUGGAUAUACUGUGUCAAAGUGUUAGGAGAUCUCUCUUAUUUGGGAUUUCAGAAUGUUAAGUCUAAUUUAUGGUGAUAUGAACUUGUGGUGAAUAGUUGGAGUUCUGAUUGUAUAAUUUAUUUAGCUUGUGGAUUUAUAAAUAUUGUUCAUGUUUGUCAAGUUGGCUUGGGUUGCCAUAAAUGUGAAUUAUCGAGUGAUGUGAUAUAUGAUUAUAAACUGCACAGGUUUUAUGGAUGUGAAUAUGAAUAGAAUGUUUUCAGUGUCCUCAAACGUUAGUUUGGAUCCUGGAUUGGUCUGUGACGAAAAUUUUAAAAAUCAUGGAUAUUUUGAGGGGCGUGACAGAGGUGGUAUCAGAGCAUUAUUUGAGGAUUACUGAAAUAUUUGAUAUGUUGACGUGCAAAAUAUAUUGAGGUCUAAUGAACUAUAGUGAUUGGUGGAAAUUUUCUUUGAUGUAUUUUAGGAAUCUGGGAUGAUGAGGACAUUUGGUCCUCCUAUUUCAUUGUUUCUGAUUAAUUAAGGGGAAUGAAAGGAUUGAUUGGGGAUAUUGAAUCAGAGUGGCGUAGCGGAAGCAUGGUGGACCUAAUUUCAUUGGUGGUAGAAAAAUGAAUGAUGCAAACAGAGAAGAUAUUUGAUGUACAAAAUUGUUUUGAUGAUCAAAAGAUUUCUUUUGCCACCUUAUAUUGGAAGUAGAGGCUGAUUAUUAUUGGCAACAAUGAAAAGAAUUUUUGGAGAUCAGUGACAAGAAUGAUAAGGACAAGUUUACCAAUAAGAAUAUGAUUGGAAAUGAAUCAGAAAGUAAUGACAAGAGGGUCAAGACAUUUGGAUUUGAAAAGGAAAGUCACCACCAAAGACUUAAUCAUGUGUGAAUUACAAGUUAAAUUAUGAAACAAGUUUGUGCUUUCGGGUGAUUGGAGUCUAUUUUGCUUGUAGAAAGUUGGAUCAUAAAAUAAAAGUUUGCCCUUUGAACAAGAAGAAAGAGUCACUGCCUCCUAAAUCAUCAGCCCAUGUAAGAGUGUAUGCUAUCACUGAAUAUGAUUCUGAAACUUCUGAAUUAGUGGCCAAAGGUAUUAUGCAUGUUUAUGAAAGAAUGCAAAUAUUUGUUCGAUCAUGGGUCCAAUCUACGAUUUGAUUCGUAAUAUUUUGCUUAUCACUUGGGUAUUCAACCUAGACCACUACAUUAUGUGCUAUAAGUAAAUACGAUCAUUGGAGAUUCUUUGAUAACGAAGUUGAAUCUGGUCCUCUUGUCUGAUUCUUAUUGGAGAACUUGAAUUUAUGCUGAUUUAGUUCUCCUAGAGAUUUGGAGUUAUGAUAUUAUACUUGGUAUGGAUUGGCCAUCUUCUUAUCAUACCAGUAUGGAUUGAUAUAUAACAAAUGAUCACUUUUUGUAUAUUUGAUCAGUCGAUCUUUUACUUUGAGAGUAUGGGACAUGAUUUAUCUCCUUGCCUAAUGUAUCCAGGAUGACUUGCUUGGAUUACCUCCAAAUGUGACUUUGCUUUUGAUUUGGUCCUUGGGAUAAUCCCAAUAUCUAAGCCUCUCUACAGAAAGAUAUCAUUUGAGUAAGUGGAAUUGGAAAAGCAACUACAAGGAUUGUUAAAUGAGGAUUUUAUUUAGCUUAAUAUUUCAUCAUGGGGUGCUCCGGUGUUAGUUAAAAGAAAUGUAUGGAACAUUGAGGCUUUGUAAUGAUUAUAGACAGUUGAAUUAGGUGACCAUCAAAAACGAGUAUUUUCUGAAGUAACGACUUGCUCGAUUAAUUACAGGGUACGCAAGUAUUUUUAGAAAUUGAUUGAAGGUCGGGUUACCGUCUAUUGAGGAUCAAGGAGGAGAAUAUUUCGGUCACUCGUGGAUAAUUAUGUAAUUGUAUUGUAUUGAUGAAACUAUUUAAGAGUAGGAGGAGGAAAUAAAGAUAUCAUAAUCUUCAUCUUUUCAUCGAUUGAGCUAUGAUCAAUUUAGAGGACUAAAUUUUCUUUUAAGGGGGGGAGAGUGUAAUAUCCCUCGCUUUUAAAAAUUAUUAAUAAAGAUUUAUAUGUAAAUUGGAGGACCUAUAUGUAAAUAUAGAAAUUACAAGGACUAAACUGCUAAGUUGCAAAAAAAAAAGAAAAAGGAAAAGGGAAGAGGAGAAGAAGAGAAGGAGAAGAAGAGGGAAAAGAGAGGCAGCUGCAGCAGCCAGGGCUGCAGCACCUCUGUUUCCCGCAGGUGGAAACAGAGGAGAGGAUGUGUGGGGCGUUGAGGAUGAAAAGGGAAGAAGAAGAAGAAGAAGAAGAAGAAGAAGAAGAAGAAGAAGAAGAUAGCUGCGGCAAGGCUGCAGCGAGGAGAUGUGUGGCCUUGGGGAGGAAAAGGGAAGAGGGGAAGAGGAGAAGAAGAAGAAGAGGAAGAGAAAGAGGUGUGAUACCUCUGUUUCCUGCAGAGGAAACAGAGGAGAGGGUGUGUGUGACGCCGGGGAAGAAGGGGCUGCAGCUGCGGCGAUGGCAGCUGCAGCUGGAAGAGAAGAAGAAGAGGAAGAUGAGCAGGGGAGGAGGGAGAGGUUGCGGCCGUGGCUGCGGCCGCGACUGCAGCAGUUGCAGCGGGGAGAGAAGAAGAAGAAAGGAAGGAGAAGGAAGAGGAGAAGGGAAAGAAGUAGCUGCGGCUGCGGUUGUGGCAGCUGCAGCUAUGGCAGGGAAAGAGGAAGAGAAAAAGGAAAGGAAGAAGAGAGAAAGGGAAGGAGAGGAAGAAGAGAGGAAGAGGAGAAGGGGUUGCGGCUACGGCGAUGGCAGCUGCAGCUGUGGCAGGGAAAGAGAAAAAGGAAAGGAAGAAGAAGAGAAAGGGAAGGAGAGGAAGAAGAGAGGAAGAGGAGAAGGGGCUGCGGCUGCGGUGAUGGCAGCUGCAGCUGUGGCUGGGAAAGAAGAGAAGGAAAGGAAGAAGAAGAGAAAGGGAAGGAGAGGAAGAAGAGAGGAAGAGGAGAAGGGGUGGCAGCUGCGGCGAUGGCAGCUGCAGUUGGAAGAGAAGAAGGAGAGGAAGAUGAGCAGGGGAGGAAGAAGAGGCUGCGAGUGUGGUGGCUGCGGCCGUGGCUGCGACUCCGGCUGCGGCUGCAACGUUGGCUGCGGUAGCUGCGGCAGCGGUGGUGGCUGCAGUAGCUGCAGUAGCUGCUUUUGGGAAAGAGAAAGAGUAGGAAUGAGAGAAGGGAAGAAGGAAAUAGUGCAGUGGAAGGGGGCUGUGGUUGUGACCGCAGUUGCGGUCGUGGCUGCGAUUGUGGCAGCGGCAGCGGCGGCGGCUGUGGCAGCUGUGUUUGGGAAAGAAAAAAAGAAGGAAUGAGAGUAAGAGAGAGCAGGUGACUGUGCCUCGAUGUUCGACACGUGGUGUAGUUGCGAAGAAAGGAAGAAAACGGGAGCACAAAACGAAACAGAGAGAGGACACGGAGGAAAAGUAGAAGGAUUUGGGCUGGCACCUUCCUUGGAUCUUCGGAUCGAAAUCUUUGAAAGGUCAGCUUGUCACUCUUCGAGAUGUUUGAUUUGGGCUGAGGCAGUGGAUAGCUAUUCAGAAUAAUGGGCAAGUCUGGUUGGUUAUUACGAUAUUGUUGUAUAAGUAUGUCUUGUAUGUAAUGAAAUGUUGUCGAUGAACCGAAAUGGAUAUACUGUGUCAAAGUGUUAGGAGAUCUCUCUUAUUUGGGAUUUCAGAAUGUUAAGUCUAAUUUAUGGUGAUAUGAACUUGUGGUGAAUAGUUGGAGUUCUGAUUGUAUAAUUUAUUUAGCUUGUGGAUUUAUAAAUAUUGUUCAUGUUUGUCAAGUUGGCUUGGGUUGCCAUAAAUGUGAAUUAUCGAGUGAUGUGAUA
RNA transcript from Musa acuminata AAA Group (dessert banana), 14874 nucleotides. RefSeq lists it as uncharacterized. The transcript is spliced from 6 exons. The record is from RefSeq and is a predicted model, not a curated record. NCBI's taxonomy places the organism in Eukaryota, Viridiplantae, Streptophyta, Magnoliopsida, Zingiberales, Musaceae.